This is an RNA transcript of Trifolium pratense (red clover), 4700 nucleotides long. It is a transcript of the gene named NPC intracellular cholesterol transporter 1-like, with no coding region annotated. The record is from RefSeq and is a predicted model, not a curated record. Lineage: Eukaryota; Viridiplantae; Streptophyta; Magnoliopsida; Fabales; Fabaceae. The transcript has 37 exons.
UCAGUGUACUAAUACUACAACUUCACAAUCUCUCUGUUUUCGUCCUUCCUCAACUCAACUCAACUCAGUUUCAAUUAAAGGCACACAUUCCCAAACACACCAACCUCUCACAACGCCACCGCAAUGGACCUUCGCCGCUUAACUCUCCUUUCUCUAUUACAGGUUUGCUUAAUUUUAUCUUUAACAGAAGCACAAUCGGCAUCUAAUGAUAAAACACUACGGGAAAGACAUUCUGAGGAUUAUUGUGCAAUGUAUGAUAUUUGUGGAAAGCGAAGUGACGGUAAAGUAGUGAAUUGUCCAUAUGGUUCUCCUGCUGUGAAGCCAGAUGAUUUGCUUUCAUCGAAGAUCCAAAGUUUGUGUCCGACUAUUACUGGGAACGUUUGCUGUUCAGAAGCUCAGUUUGAAACAUUAAGGCAGCAAGUGCAACAGGCAAUUCCUUUUCUUGUAGGUUGUCCAGCAUGCUUAAGAAAUUUUCUGAAUCUAUUCUGCGAGCUUACUUGCUCUCCAAAUCAGAGUUUAUUUAUCAAUGUGACUUCAGUUGACAAGGUUGGUGGUAAUUUGACAGUGGGUGGCAUCGAUUAUUUUGUAAGUGACACAUUUGGCGAAGGGUUAUAUGACUCCUGCAAGGAUGUAAAGUUUGGCUCCGCGAAUACUCGAGCCAUGGACUUACUUGGCGCUAGGGCUAAGAAUGUUAAAGAGUGGUUUACUUUUAUUGGUAAAAAAGCAACCCCUGGUGGUCUUGGUUCACCAUAUGCAAUUGCCUUCCAGCCAAAUGCAACCAAGUCAUCUGGAAUGGAACCUAUGAAUGUUUCAGCCUAUUCAUGCGGUGAUAUUUCUCUUGGCUGUUCUUGUGGUGACUGUCCUUCAUCUUCAGUGUGCUCUAGUUCAUCUUCAACUACCACCCAAAAGAGGGAUUCAUGCUCCUUGAAAAUUGGGAAUUUAAUGGUGAAGUGUGUUGACUUGAUUUUAACAGUCUUAUACAUCAUACUGAUAUGUGUGCUCUUGGGUUGGGGAUUGUAUCAUCGGAAAAGGGAAAGAAAGCCGGCAUAUAGAACAAAGUCGGUGUCUAAUGUCAUUAGUGGCGGCGUACUGUAUUCUCGUAAUCAGGAGAAGGACGAGAACCUCCCAAUGCAUCAGAUUAUUGAAGAUGUUUCACAAAAUAGAAACGAAGUACGACUCUCACCUGUGCAAGGAUACAUGUCAAAUUUUUACAGGAAGUAUGGAUCAUACGUAGCUAGAAACCCAAUUAUGGUCUUGGCUACAUCUUUGGUUAUAGUUAUUCUACUUUGUCUGGGUCUAAUCAGAUUAAAGGUUGAAACGCGGCCUGAGAAGCUCUGGGUGGGACCUGGGAGUAAAGCGGCUGAAGAGAAGCAGUUUUUUGACAGCCAUCUUGCUCCAUUUUACAGAAUUGAACAGCUCAUACUGGGAACAGUUCCAGAUCAUGUGAAUAGUACAUCAUCAAGAAUUGUGUCAGAGGACAACAUUAGGUUUCUGUUUGAAGUACAAAAGAAGGUUGAUGCAAUUCGUGCUAAUUAUUCUGGCUUGAUGGUAUCUCUCCAAGACAUCUGUAUGAAGCCACUAGACAAAGAUUGUGCCACACAAAGCAUUCUUCAGUACUUCAAAAUGGAUCCCAACAAUUUCGACAAUUAUGGUGGAGUUGAGCAUCUCAAUUACUGUUUUGAGCAUUAUUCCUCAGCAGAUAAAUGUCUGAGUGCAUUUAAAGGUCCUCUUGAUCCAAGCACUGUAUUAGGAGGUUUUUCUGGGAAUAACUAUUCUGCGGCUUCUGCAUUUAUUGUAACCUACCCAGUAAAUAAUGCUAUUGAUGAAGAAGGCAAUGAAAUUGCAAAGACAGUUGCUUGGGAGAAGACCUUUAUUCAGUUAGUGAAGGACGAGUUGUUACCAAUGGCACAGUCAAAAAAUUUGACACUUGCUUUUUCAUCUGAAAGCUCUAUUGAGGAAGAAUUGAAAAGAGAAAGUACUGCAGAUGUUAUUACUAUAUUGGUCAGCUAUCUUGUGAUGUUUGCUUAUAUAUCUCUUACUUUAGGGGAUACACCCCAGCUUUCUUCUUUCUAUAUUUCAUCUAAGGUAUUGCUUGGUCUUUCAGGAGUAAUUCUUGUCAUGCUGUCUGUCCUUGGAUCUGUUGGAAUUUUUAGUGCUCUUGGUGUAAAAUCUACUCUGAUCAUCAUGGAAGUUAUCCCAUUUCUUGUUCUAGCUGUUGGGGUGGAUAAUAUGUGUAUACUGGUUCAUGCUGUGAAAAGGCAAGAGCUGGAGUUGCCUUUAGAAAGAAGGAUAAGCAAUGCACUUGUUGAAGUUGGACCAUCAAUAACAUUGGCUAGUUUAUCAGAGGUUAUAGCAUUUGCAGCUGGAAGCUUUAUUUCCAUGCCCGCAUGUCGUGUCUUCUCCAUGUUUGCAGCAUUGGCCGUCCUUUUAGACUUUCUCCUGCAAGUUACUGCAUUCGUAGCUCUGAUAGUUCUUGACUCUUUAAGAGCAGAGGAUAAGAGGGUUGAUUGUUUCCCAUGCAUAAAAGUGCCUUCUUUGCAUGCAGACCCUGAUAAAGGCACUGAACAAAGGAAACCUGGUUUGUUGGCUAGAUACAUGAAGGAGGUUCAUGCUCCAAUUCUAAGUAUUUGGGGAGUAAAAAUAGUUGUCAUUGCAAUUUUUGUGGCAUUUGCAUUGGCUAGCAUUGCUUUGAGCACUAGAAUUGAACCUGGAUUGGAGCAGGAGAUUGUUCUUCCCCGAGACUCAUAUCUUCAGGGGUAUUUUAAAAAUGUUUCAGAAUAUCUCAGAAUUGGGCCACCUUUGUAUUUUGUUGUGAAGAACUAUAACUACAGCUCCGAAUCAACACAUACAAAUCAGCUUUGCUCCAUAAGCCAAUGCAAUUCAGACUCUCUUUUAAAUGAGAUCUCUAAAGCGGCCCUAGUACCAGACACAAGUUAUAUUGCCAAACCAGCUGCUUCUUGGCUCGAUGAUUUUCUUGUGUGGGUAUCUCCAGAAGCAUUUGGGUGCUGCAGGAAGUUCACUAAUGGGAGUUAUUGCCCUCCUGACGACCAGCCUCCUUGCUGUGCUCCUGGAGAAGGCUCUUGUGUUUCACUUGGAGUAUGUAAUGAUUGCACAACGUGUUUCCAUCAUUCAGAUCUCCAUAAAGAUCGUCCUUCCACAACACAAUUUAGGGAGAAAUUGCCGUGGUUUCUUAGUGCUCUUCCAUCUGCUGACUGUGCAAAAGGAGGUCAUGGGGCGUACACCAGCAGUGUUGAACUGAAAGGCUAUGACAGUGGCAUUAUUCAAGCAUCAUCAUUCCGUACAUAUCAUACCCCACUCAACAAGCAGGCCGACUUUGUUAAUUCCAUGAGGGCUGCUCGAGAGUUCAGUUCAAGGGUUUCUGAUUCUUUGAAGAUUGAGAUCUUCCCUUAUUCAGUGUUUUAUAUGUUUUUUGAGCAAUACCUUAAUAUAUGGAAGACUGCACUGGUCAAUCUUGCAAUAGCUAUUGGUGCAGUGUUUAUUGUGUGCUUGGUUAUCACAUGCAGUUUAUGGAGUUCAGCGAUCAUUUUGUUGGUGUUGACAAUGAUUGUUGUUGAUCUUAUGGGUGUGAUGGCCAUUCUAAAUAUCCAAUUGAAUGCCGUCUCAGUUGUCAACCUCGUUAUGUCAGUGGGCAUUGCUGUGGAGUUUUGUGUGCAUAUGACUCAUUCUUUCACUCCAGAUGCAGCAGAUCCGGUUGUAGACUGUGCCAGGCUGGGGCAAGGAAACUACAUGAAUGGAGCAAAUCUUAGCCGUGGCUUGUGCUGGUGUUGGUUUGUAAGAACUGGUUGGGGUUUCCACUGUGUUGGCCUAUGCAUGUGGUGGUUUGAGGGGAACAUGCAGUGUUUGGAAUUGUCUCGUGGGACUGGUGCAUGAACGGGCUUUAAGGGUUUGGGUGCACAGUGUGGCUGGAUGUUUCCGGUGGCAGAGGCAGUCAGGCAGGAACAAUUUUGUUGCGUCUGUGAUGACUUAUCUGGUUAUGUCACCGGUGAAGUUGCCGGAAGUUCUGAAGUUGUCGGAGAUACUGGUGGUGGCUGUUAGUAACCACCCACAACCCACAUGCCCCAAACCCCAGCAUGUUUCUGUAUGCUCUCGCCAUUGCAACAGCAGCCUCCCUAGCACGCCUCCAUAGCGCGAUUCCAUAAUUGCGCCUAGCCAUCACACCGCCUUCAGGCCCUUUCCCACUCCAACCAACACAAUCUCGUGUGGAUGGUCCCUCCAUCGAUGAAUAGUCACAAAUUACCUGCAAGUCUCUCGGCCCUUUUUCUUUUCAUCCGAUGUAGUGUGCAGCUUCUAGAAUAUUCAAGUCUAGGAAUGGAGGAGGUAACCAAAUUAAAUCUUUGGGUUUAUCUCAACUCAAGCCCACUGGCCCAAAAACAUGCCACUCACGAAAUUGGUACCCAUUCUUUCCUGUGGAGGAACUAAUGAGCCACUUCAUGUGGCAGAUGUGGCAGUGGGAGGAAGAUGGGGAGGAGCAGGUGGGGGAUGAGGAAGAGCAGCGCUGUGAAGCUGCAGCAACUGGACAGUGGUGGUGCAGAAGGCAGCCUGAAACCGAAAGGGGAUGGGGAAUAACAAUUUUAAGCCACAUGCCUUCAUAAGAUCUGGACCAUUGGUGAAUUACAAGCUGUAUCAUAUGCAACAGUGGAUGCUCAGUUGCAACUGGAGAUAAAGAUCAGCGUGUUAAG